CAAUAGCGUAUAUUAAAGUUGUUGCAGUUAAAAAGCUCGUAGUUGGAUUUCUGGUGGGAGCGAUCGGUCUGGCGCUUAGCGCGAGUACUUGCAUCGUCUCCGGCCAUCCUUGGGGAGAGUCUGUCUGGCAUUAGGUUGUCGGGCAGAGGAUCCUCAUCGUUUACUGUGAAAAAAUUAGAGUGUUCAAAGCAGGCUUAUGCCGUUGAAUAUAUUAGCAUGGAAUAAUAAGAUAGGACUUUAGUACUAUUUUGUUGGUUUGCGCACCAAAGUAAUGAUUAAUAGGGACAGUUGGGGGUAUUCGUAUUCCGUUGUCAGAGGUGAAAUUCUUGGAUUUACGGAAGACGAACUACUGCGAAAGCAUUUACCAAGGAUGUUUUCAUUAA
Molecule: ribosomal RNA, 383 nt
Filed under: uncultured eukaryote
Lineage: Eukaryota
Description: partial 18S ribosomal RNA
Rfam family: Eukaryotic small subunit ribosomal RNA
Source: RNAcentral